AUUGAACGCUGGCGGAAUGCUUUACACAUGCAAGUCGAACGGCAGCACGGACUUCGGUCUGGUGGCGAGUGGCGAACGGGUGAGUAAUGUAUCGGAACGUGCCCAGUCGUGGGGGAUAACGUAGUGAAAAUUACGCUAAUACCGCAUACGAUCUAUGGAAGAAAGCGGGGGAUCGCAAGACCUCGCGCGAUUGGAGCGGCCGAUAUCAGAGUAGGUAGUUUGUGGGGUAAAGGCCCACCAAGCCAACGAUCUGUAGCUGGUCUGAGAGGACGACCAGCCACACUGGAACUGAGACACGGUCCAUACUCCUACGGGAGGCAGCAGUGGGGAAUUUUGGACAAUGGGCGAAAGCCUGAUCCAGCCAUUCCGCGUGCAGGAUGAAGGCCCUCGGGUUGUAAACUGCUUUUGUACAGAACGAAAAGGUUUCUACUAAUACUAGGAGCUCAUGACGGUACUGUAAGAAUAAGCACCGGCUAACUACGUGCCAGCCGCCGCAGUAA
RNAcentral lists this ribosomal RNA (500 nucleotides) under uncultured bacterium. RNAcentral's name for it is "partial 16S ribosomal RNA". It matches the Rfam family "Bacterial small subunit ribosomal RNA", at positions 30 to 523 of the family's 1533-position model. The record is from RNAcentral.